This 497-nucleotide ribosomal RNA is filed under the name uncultured bacterium. Its description in RNAcentral is "partial 16S ribosomal RNA". It matches the Rfam family "Bacterial small subunit ribosomal RNA", at positions 28 to 507 of the family's 1533-position model. The record is from RNAcentral.
GAUGAACGCUGGCGGCGUGCCUAAUACAUGCAAGUCGAGCGAACAGACGAGGAGCUUGCUCCUCUGACGUUAGCGGCGGACGGGUGAGUAACACGUGGAUAACCUACCUAUAAGACUGGGAUAACUUCGGGAAACCGGAGCUAAUACCGGAUAAUAUAUUGAACCGCAUGGUUCAAUAGUGAAAGACGGUUUUGCUGUCACUUAUAGAUGGAUCCGCGCCGCAUUAGCUAGUUGGUAAGGUAACGGCUUACCAAGGCAACGAUGCGUAGCCGACCUGAGAGGGUGAUCGGCCACACGGGAACUGAGACACGGUCCAGACGCCUACGGGAGGCAGCAGGAGGGAAUCUUCCGCAAUGGGCGAAAGCCUGACGGAGCAACGCCGCGUGAGUGAUGAAGGUCUUCGGAUCGUAAAACUCUGUUAGUAGGGAAGAACAAAUGUGUAAGUAACUAUGCACGUCUUGACGGUACCUAAUCAGAAAGCCACGGCUAACUACGUG